This 1668-nucleotide long non-coding RNA is filed under the name Salmo salar (Atlantic salmon). Its description in RNAcentral is "lncRNA (ENSSSAG00000083807.1)". Lineage: Eukaryota; Metazoa; Chordata; Actinopteri; Salmoniformes; Salmonidae. The record is from RNAcentral.
UCAUAAAUGUUCAUCAAUUGUGCCUAUCACCAGGUUAAUAUAUUAGGUAUACACCUAAUUCAUAAUAUGUUUAGGCCAAUGAAGGAUGGAUACGGAAUAGUUAUGAAGUAUCAAAUAAUUGUAAAGAAUGAUUUCAUAAUCAUUUUGUAGUGAAUUCAGGAAGUAGGCCCGUCCGGGACUCAAACCAGGGUCCGGUAACUGUCAAGCCAAGACUUUAAUGGUAACGCCAAGAGGUCUGGGUUAAGGUUACUAUAUUACCACCUUCCUUCAGGAGAGUGUCCCCACACUUCUCUAUACCAAGUCUCUCUCAUGUGUACACGCCUCUCCGAUGGCCUCACGGGUACCAUCCCAAUUCACUAGGUGUGGGUUAAGGUCUCCUACAAUAUCGAUUUUCAAGUAUGUUUUCAUAUUUCAUACACACACAGCCUAAAGCACAUGGUAUCUAAUGUUACAAAUAUAUCCAGCCAGGGUCAAUUACUUAUUUUGUAAUUUGUUUGAAUAGCUUUUUGUGUGUUUGUUUUCUUGACAUGAAGGACUUGUGGUGGUUUGAUAUGAAGAACAUGAAGGACUUGAGGUGGUUUGAUAUGAAGAACAUGAAGGACUUGAGGUUGUUUGAUAUGAAGCACUUGAGGUGGUUUGAUAUGAAGGACUUGAGGUGGUUUGAUAUGAAGGACAAUAGGUGGUUUGAUAUGAAGGACAAUAGGUGGUUUGAUAUGAAAUACAUGAGGUGGUUUGAUAUGAAGGACAAUAGGUGGUUUGAUAUGAAGGACAAGAGGUGGUUUGAUAUGAAGGACAUGAGGUGGUUUGAUAUGAAGGACAAGAGGUGGUUUGAUAUGAAGGACAAGAGGUGGUUUGAUAUGAAGGACAUGAGGUGGUUUGAUAUGAAGGACAAGAGGUGGUUUGAUAUGAAGGACUCACAUACAACCAAACUUUAUUUAGAUCAUGCUGGAUUAAUCUGAUUCUGUUCAUACUGUACUAGGCUACCUAAGGUCUAGUAUGCACUAAUGCAGUGGUUCCCAACCAUUCUUUUGUUACUGUACCACCAACUGAAUUUUGCUCUGCCUGGAGUACCCCUGAAGUACCCCCUCGUGUAUUUUACCAGUAGGGCUAUGGGCUCAUGAGUCUUCUCAAGUACCCCUGUGGAUAGACCAGGUACCCCCAGGGGUCCUAGUACCACUGGUUGGGAACCACUGCAGUAAUGAACUCUUAAAGUGGAUGUGAAUGAAGGAUAUGCCAGCAUGUACAUUAGCUAGUGUUGAGAUUUUAAGAUACUAUUUUAAAUGUAAAAAGAAAAAAAAAAAACAUCUGCAUUUUGUACUGCAAUGUACGUACUCGCACGCACACUCACUCAGGAAUUACAUACGACGUUAAUACACCUUUGUUACAUAUUUAUUGUGGAUAAUAUAUUUACUAUUUAGUCACGAUCUCAACAUCUCUGUUUUGAAUGGACAAUGCCUACUGGCAUCAUUGUUUACAGUCUGCUAAAAGUUUACUUCAGAGAUGUAUAUGAAGAAAAAACAUCUACAAUAUUGUAAAUAAAUGUGUAAAUAUGUAAUUUGGUUUACUUUGUGUUUUAUUUUCACUUAACAAUAACAGAUAUGGUGAAGAAAGCUAAAUACAUCUAAAAUGUUAAAUACAUCUUAAAUAAAAUAAAAUGUUAUUGGUCAC